CAGUGCCAAGCGUAAGGACAGUGCCAAGAAAAGGUGUUUGGGAAAAGUAGGAAAGUUUCGUUUAGUCGGCGCAACAUCUGUGGUCAUAUGCCGGAGAGAGACAGAAGGGGAAGGAAGGAAAGUUUUGUUUAGUCGGCGCAACAUCUGUGGUCAUAUGCCGGAGAGAGACAGAAGGGGAAGGAAGGAAAGUUUCGUUUAGUCGGCGCAACAUCUGUGGUCAUAUGCCGGAGAGAGACAGAAGGGGAAGGAAGGAAAGUUUCGUUUAGUCGGCGCAACAUCUGUGGUCAUAUGCCGGAGAGAGACAGAAGGGGAAGGAAGGAAAGUUUUGUUUAGUCGGCGCAACAUCUGUGGUCAUAUGCCGGAGAGAGACAGAAGGGGAAGGAAGGAAAGUUUUGUUUAGUUGCCGCAACAUCUGUGGUCAUAUGCCGGAGAGAGACAGAAGGGGAAGGAAGGAAAGUUUUGUUUAGUCGGCGCAACAUCUGUGGUCAUAUGCCGGAGAGAGACAGAAGGGGAAGGAAGGAAAGUUUUGUUUAGUGGGCGCAACAUCUGUGGUCAUAUGCCGGAGAGAGACAGAAGGGGAAGGAAGGAAAGUUUCGUUUAGUCGGCGCAACAUCUGUGGUCAUAUGCCGGAGAGAGACAGAAGGGGAAGGAAGGAAAGUUUCGUUUAGUCGGCGCAACAUCUGUGGUCAUAUGCUGGAGAGAGACAGAAGGGAAUGGAAGGAAAGUUUCGUUUAGUCGGCGCAACAUCUGUGGCCAUAUGCCGGAGAGAGACAGAAGGGAAUGGAAGGAAAGUUUUGUUUAGUGGGCGCAACAUCUGUGGUCAUAUGCCGGAGAGAGACAGAAGGGAAUGGAAGGAAAGUUUUGUUUAGUGGGCGCAACAUCUGUGGUCAUAUGCCGGAGAGAGACAGAAGGGGAAGGAAGGAAAGUUUUGUUUAGUGGGCGCAACAUCUGUGGUCAUAUGCCGGAGAGACAGAAGGGGAAGGAAGGAAAGUUUUGUUUAGUCGGCGCAACAUCUGUGGUCAUAUGCCGGAGAGAGACAGAAGGGGGAGGAAGGAAAGUUUUGUUUAGUCGGCGCAACAUCUGUGGUCAUAUGCCGGAGAGACAGAAGGGGAAGGAAGGAAAGUUUCGUUUAGUCGGCGCAACAUCUGUGGUCAUAUGCCGGAGAGAGACCGAAGGGGAAGGAAGGAAAGUUUUGUUUAGUCGGCGCAACAUCUGUGGUCAUAUGCCGGAGAGAGACAGAAGGGGAAGGAAGGAAAGUUUUGUUUAGUCGGCGCAACAUCUGUGGUCAUAUGCCGGAGAGAGACAGAAGGGGGAGGAAUUAUAGGAGAAGGGAACAGACCCCAGGAGAUGAGACACAACCCAACAUCUGUGGUCAUAUGCCGGAGAGAGACAGAAGGGGAAGGAAUUAUAGGAGAAGGGAACAGACCCCAGGAGACGGGACACAACCCAACAUCUGUGGUCAUAUGCCGGAGAGAGACAGAAGGGGAAGGAAUUAUAGGAGAAGGGAACAGACCCCAGGAGACGGGACACAACCCAACAUCUGUGGUCAUAUGCCGGAGAGAGACAGAAGGGGAAGGAAUUAUAG
Molecule: long non-coding RNA, 1585 nt
Organism: Eriocheir sinensis (Chinese mitten crab)
Lineage: Eukaryota; Metazoa; Arthropoda; Malacostraca; Decapoda; Varunidae
Exons: 2
Source: RefSeq, a predicted model, not a curated record